GAUGAACGCUGGCGGCGUGCCUAAUACAUGCAAGUCGAGCGAACGGACGAGAAGCUUGCUUCUCUGAUGUUAGCGGCGGACGGGUGAGUAACACGUGGAUAACCUACCUAUAAGACUGGGAUAACUUCGGGAAACCGGAGCUAAUACCGGAUAAUAUUUUGAACCGCAUGGUUCAAAAGUGAAAGACGGUCUUGCUGUCACUUAUAGAUGGAUCCGCGCUGCAUUAGCUAGUUGGUAAGGUAACGGCUUACCAAGGCAACGAUGCAUAGCCGACCUGAGAGGGUGAUCGGCCACACUGGAACUGAGACACGGUCCAGACUCCUACGGGAGGCAGCAGUAGGGAAUCUUCCGCAAUGGGCGAAAGCCUGACGGAGCAACGCCGCGUGAGUGAUGAAGGUCUUCGGAUCGUAAAACUCUGUUAUUAGGGAAGAACAUAUGUGUAAGUAACUGUGCACAUCUUGACGGUACCUAAUUAGAAAGCCACGGCUAACUACGUGCCAGCAGCCGCGGUAAUACGUAGGUGGCAAGCGUUAUCCGGAAUUAUUGGGCGUAAAGCGCGCGUAGGCGGUUUUUUAAGUCUGAUGUGAAAGCCCACGGCUCAACCGUGGAGGGUCAUUGGAAACUGGAAAACUUGAGUGCAGAAGAGGAAAGUGGAAUUCCAUGUGUAGCGGUGAAAUGCGCAGAGAUAUGGAGGAACACCAGUGGCGAAGGCGACUUUCUGGUCUGUAACUGACGCUGAUGUGCGAAAGCGUGGGGAUCAAACAGGAUUAGAUACCCUGGUAGUCCACGCCGUAAACGAUGAGUGCUAAGUGUUAGGGGGUUUCCGCCCCUUAGUGCUGCAGCUAACGCAUUAAGCACUCCGCCUGGGGAGUACGACCGCAAGGUUGAAACUCAAAGGAAUUGACGGGGACCCGCACAAGCGGUGGAGCAUGUGGUUUAAUUCGAAGCAACGCGAAGAACCUUACCAAAUCUUGACAUCCUUUGACAACUCUAGAGAUAGAGCCUUCCCCUUCGGGGGACAAAGUGACAGGUGGUGCAUGGUUGUCGUCAGCUCGUGUCGUGAGAUGUUGGGUUAAGUCCCGCAACGAGCGCAACCCUUAAGCUUAGUUGCCAUCAUUAAGUUGGGCACUCUAAGUUGACUGCCGGUGACAAACCGGAGGAAGGUGGGGAUGACGUCAAAUCAUCAUGCCCCUUAUGAUUUGGGCUACACACGUGCUACAAUGGACAAUACAAAGGGCAGCGAAACCGCGAGGUCAAGCAAAUCCCAUAAAGUUGUUCUCAGUUCGGAUUGUAGUCUGCAACUCGACUACAUGAAGCUGGAAUCGCUAGUAAUCGUAGAUCAGCAUGCUACGGUGAAUACGUUCCCGGGUCU
This 1372-nucleotide ribosomal RNA is filed under the name uncultured bacterium. Its description in RNAcentral is "bacterial SSU rRNA". It matches the Rfam family "Bacterial small subunit ribosomal RNA", at positions 28 to 1381 of the family's 1533-position model. The record is from RNAcentral.